AAGCUAAUACCGGAUAAUAUUUCGUAACCGCAUGAUUCGAUAGUGAAAGANGGUUUUGCUAUCACUUAUAGAUGGACCCGCGCCGUAUUAGCUAGUUGGUAAGGUAACGGCUUACCAAGGCGACGAUACGUAGCCGACCUGAGAGGGUGAUCGGCCACACUGGAACUGAGACACGGUCCAGACUCCUACGGGAGGCAGCAGAA
This 203-nucleotide ribosomal RNA is filed under the name uncultured Staphylococcus sp. RNAcentral describes it as "partial 16S ribosomal RNA". It matches the Rfam family "Bacterial small subunit ribosomal RNA", at positions 160 to 354 of the family's 1533-position model. The record is from RNAcentral. Lineage: Bacteria; Bacillati; Bacillota; Bacilli; Caryophanales; Staphylococcaceae.